Molecule: ribosomal RNA, 507 nt
Filed under: uncultured Propionibacterium sp.
Lineage: Bacteria; Bacillati; Actinomycetota; Actinomycetes; Propionibacteriales; Propionibacteriaceae
Description: bacterial SSU rRNA
Rfam family: Bacterial small subunit ribosomal RNA
Source: RNAcentral
AGAGUUUGAUCCUGGCUCAGGACGAACGCUGGCGGCGUGCUUAACACAUGCAAGUCGAACGGAAAGGCCCUGCUUUUGUGGGGUGCUCUAGUGGCGAACGGGUGAGUAACACGUGAGUAACCUGCCCUUGACUUUGGGAUAACUUCAGGAAACUGGGGCUAAUACCGGAUAGGAGCUCCUGCUGCAUGGUGGGGGUUGGAAAGUUUCGGCGGUUGGGGAUGGACUCGCGGCUUAUCAGCUUGUUGGUGGGGUAGUGGCUUACCAAGGCUUUGACGGGUAGCCGGCCUGAGAGGGUGACCGGCCACAUUGGGACUGAGAUACGGCCCAGACUCCUACGGGAGGCAGCAGUGGGGAAUAUUGCACAAUGGGCGGAAGCCUGAUGCAGCAACGCCGCGUGCGGGAUGACGGCCUUCGGGUUGUAAACCGCUUUCGCCUGUGACGAAGCGUGAGUGACGGUAAUGGGUAAAGAAGCACCGGCUAACUACGUGCCAGCAGCCGCGGUAAUAC